This 496-nucleotide ribosomal RNA is filed under the name uncultured bacterium. RNAcentral's name for it is "partial 16S ribosomal RNA". It matches the Rfam family "Bacterial small subunit ribosomal RNA", at positions 28 to 506 of the family's 1533-position model. The record is from RNAcentral.
GAUGAACGCUGACGGCGUGCCUAAUACAUGCAAGUCGAGCGAACAGACGAUGAGCUUGCUCCUCUCACGUUAGCGGCGGACGGGUGAGUAACACGUGGAUAACCUACCUAUAAGACUGGGAUAACUUCGGAAAACCGGAGCUAAUACCGGAUAAUAUAUUGAACCGCGUGGUUCAAUAGUGAAAGACGGUUUUGCGGUCACUUAUAGAUGCAUCCGCGCGGGUUGAGCUAGUUGGUAAGGUAACGGCUUACCAAGGCAACGAUGCGUAGCCGACCUGAGAGCGUGAUACCCCACAGUGGAAGUGACAGGCGGUCUAGAAACCGAGGGGAGGCAGAGGCAGGUACUGGAGCGCACAGGGGGAAAGCCUGCAGGAGCAACGCAGCGUGAGUGCUGAAGGUCUGCGGAUCGUAAAACUCUGUUAUUAGGGAAGAACAAAUGUGUAAGUAACUAUGCGCGAGUGGCGGUAACCUAAAAAGAAAGCCAGGGUGACCACCGG